GAUGAAGAACGCAGCGAAAUGCGAUAAGUAAUGUGAAUUGCAGAAUACAGUGAAUCAUCGAAUCUUUGAACGCACCUUGCGCCUUUUGGUAUUCCGAAAGGCACACCUGUUUGAGCGUCAUGAAUACCUCAAUCUCCAUCUUUUCUUCGGAUUGAUGGGUGACUUGGAUGUUGAGCCCUGCUGGUAUGCUAUAUCAGCUGGCUUUAAACUUAUUAGCCGGCUCUGUACUGGAUCGGUUUGACUCGACGUGAUAAUAUUAUCGUUGAGGAUGCAUGUCUCAUGCAGCCGGAAAGUAUCAAAGCAGCUUCUAGCUUGCCUUUAGUGCACUUUUACAUUUUAGACCUCAGAUCAGGUGGGACUACCCGCUGAACUUAAGCAUAUCAAUAAGCGGAGGA
RNAcentral lists this unclassified non-coding RNA (395 nucleotides) under soil metagenome. RNAcentral's name for it is "partial contains 5.8S ribosomal RNA, internal transcribed spacer 2, and large subunit ribosomal RNA". The stretch from base 1 to 120 matches the Rfam family "5.8S ribosomal RNA", at positions 35 to 154 of the family's 154-position model. The record is from RNAcentral.